UACGAAGGGGGCUAGCGUUGCUCGGAAUCACUGGGCGUAAAGGGUGCGUAGGCGGGUCUUUAAGUCAGGGGUGAAAUCCUGGAGCUCAACUCCAGAACUGCCUUUGAUACUGAGGAUCUUGAGUUCGGGAGAGGUGAGUGGAACUGCGAGUGUAGAGGUGAAAUGCGCAGAUAUCAGGAAGAACACCCGUGGCGAAAGCGGUUCUCUGGAACGGUACUGACGCUGAGACGCGAAAGCGUGGGGAGCGAACAGG
Molecule: ribosomal RNA, 253 nt
Filed under: uncultured bacterium
Lineage: Bacteria
Description: partial 16S ribosomal RNA
Rfam family: Bacterial small subunit ribosomal RNA
Source: RNAcentral